This 499-nucleotide ribosomal RNA is filed under the name uncultured bacterium. RNAcentral describes it as "partial 16S ribosomal RNA". It matches the Rfam family "Bacterial small subunit ribosomal RNA", at positions 899 to 1397 of the family's 1533-position model. The record is from RNAcentral.
ACUCAAAUGAAUUGACGGGGGCCCGCACAAGCAGUGGAUCAUGUGGUUUAAUUCGAAGCAACGCGCAGAACCUUACCUAGAUUUGACAUCCUCUGACCGCCGUAGAAAUACGGUUUUUGUAGCAAUACAACAGAGAGACAGGUGCUGCAUGGCUGUCGUCAGCUCGUGUGGUGACAUGUUGGGUUAAGUCCCUUAACGAGCGCAACCCCUGUCUUUAGUUGCCAUCAUUAAGUUGGGCACUCUAAAGAGACUGCCGUGGUUAACACGGAGGAAGGUGGGGAUGACGUCAAGUCCUCAUGGCCUUUAUAUCUAGGGCGACACACGUGAUACAAUGGACGGUACAAAGAGACGCAAAUGGGUGACCACAAGCAAAUCUCAAAAAACCGUUCUCAGUUCGGAUUGAAGUCUGCAACUCGACUUCAUGAAGGUGGAAUUGCUAGUAAUCGCGGAUCAGAACGCCGCGGUGAAUACGUUCCCGGGCCUUGCACACACCGCCCGU